CGCUGCCCCUGUCUUUCACAUGGGCUGUAAUUUAGUUCAAUUCAGAACUGCAGAUAGUACAGCUUUCACAGGAGCAGGGGAUGCCUGAGCACAAGUGGCUGAGUUCCGAGUGACUUUAGGAAGCACUUUCCUCCCUCCCUCCUGCCUGAGAACGGGGAUUCUGCACCUGCAUCAGGGACAGUCUGGCAAAAGCCUCUGCCAUGCCUCGGGGGACAAGGAACUAGCACAAAUAACCGUUUUGAAAUUGGAUCUUGGCAAAAUUAACGACAAAUCCAUAAAGGAAACCGAAGGCAGUUUGAGCUUCAUCUUCGAUGACAAUCCCACCAAAGUUGAAGAAAUAUGUUACGUCUCUAAAGAAGAGCAUGGCUGUGCCCUAAAGUUAGGACGUGAUGGUGGUCUUCCUCUACUGCUAAGGUGAACGACAUUCCGUUGUAUGCAUAGAUCACCACUUGUUCCUCCAUUCAUCUAUUGAUGAACAGUAGGUUCCUUCCACUUUUUUGGUCAUAGUCAAUGAUGCUGAUAUGAACACGGAUGUACAAGUGUCUGUCCAAGUCCCUGCUUUCGAUUCUUUUUAUGUGUGAAGAUUUCUAAGAACUCCCCUCAGUCAGCAUUCUGGGAAGCUCUUCCCCUAGGUGUUAAAAGAAAAUCCUAAGAAUACAUUCUUUAGAUAGCUAGAAGAAAGGAUAGGAACAAUACACAUUUUAUACUUUCUCUUUUACAUUAAUUUCCUGUCACUUGAAU
RNAcentral lists this long non-coding RNA (741 nucleotides) under Equus caballus (horse). RNAcentral's name for it is "lncRNA (ENSECAG00000049085.1)". Lineage: Eukaryota; Metazoa; Chordata; Mammalia; Perissodactyla; Equidae. The record is from RNAcentral.